GAUUCAGCCCUUUGUCGC
RNAcentral lists this small nuclear RNA (18 nucleotides) under Arabidopsis thaliana (thale cress). Its description in RNAcentral is "snRNA_05613". Lineage: Eukaryota; Viridiplantae; Streptophyta; Magnoliopsida; Brassicales; Brassicaceae. The record is from RNAcentral.